RNAcentral lists this ribosomal RNA (494 nucleotides) under uncultured bacterium. Its description in RNAcentral is "partial 16S ribosomal RNA". It matches the Rfam family "Bacterial small subunit ribosomal RNA", at positions 28 to 507 of the family's 1533-position model. The record is from RNAcentral.
GACGAACGCUGGCGGCGUGCUUAACACAUGCAAGUCGAGCGGAAAGGCCUGCUUUCCCUUGUGGAUUGCGGGUACUCGAGUGGCGAACGGGUGAGUAACACGUGAGUGAUCUGCCCCCAACUUGGGUAUAAGCCUGGGAAACUGGGUCUAAUUCCCGAUAGGACUGCAGGGUGGUGCCUGUGGUGGAAAACGAUUUUCUAGUGGUUGGGGAUGAGCUCGCGGCCUAUCAGCUUGUUGGUGGGGUAAUGGCCUACCAAGGCGGCGACGGGUAGCCGGCCUGAGAGGGUGGACGGCCACAUUGGGACUGAGAUACGGCCCAGACUCCUACGGGAGGCAGCAGUGGGGAAUAUUACACAAUGGGCGGAAGCCUGAUGCAGCGACGCCGCGUGGGGGAUGACGGCCUUCGGGUUGUAAACUCCUUUCGACCGCGAGGAAGCCACCUGGUUGGAAGGGUGGUGACGGUAGUGGUAGAAGAAGCACCGGCUAACUACGUG